This 4952-nucleotide unclassified non-coding RNA is filed under the name Pectinophora gossypiella (pink bollworm). RNAcentral describes it as "mitogen-activated protein kinase kinase kinase kinase 5". Lineage: Eukaryota; Metazoa; Arthropoda; Insecta; Lepidoptera; Gelechiidae. The record is from RNAcentral.
GGCAGAGUGGCAAAACGUCAGAUGGAGAUGUAGAGUUUUGUGUUACAAAAAUAAUUAAAUUUUUUGACUUUUUGUGUUAAUAAUUAUGUGAAUUAUGAGAUGAAAGUGUAAAUAAAUGUUAGAUUAGUGUCCUUGGUGAUUAUGGCGCAUAGUGGUGGUGUUUUGAGUUCGGAUAUAAGUCGACGGAAUCCACAAGAUGAGUAUGAACUCAUUCAACGGAUUGGUUCGGGGACCUACGGUGAUGUCUACAAGGCGAAAAGACUCAAUGGCAACGGUGAACUUGCUGCCAUCAAGGUGAUAAAGUUGGAACCAGGCGAUGAUUUCGCCAUCAUCCAGCAGGAGAUCCUCAUGAUGAAGGACUGCCGUCACCCGAACAUCGUCGCGUACUAUGGCUCGUACCUGCGCCGGGACAAGCUCUGGAUCUCCAUGGAGUAUUGUGGUGGGGGCAGUCUGCAGGACAUCUACCACGUGACAGGUCCGCUGACGGAGCUCCAGAUAGCGUACAUGUGUCGCGAGACGCUCACCGGCCUGUCCUACCUCCACAUGAUGGGCAAGAUGCAUCGGGACAUAAAGGGCGCGAAUAUCCUCUUGACGGAGUGCGGCGACGUGAAGUUGGCCGACUUCGGCGUCUCCGCGCAGAUCACCGCCACCAUCAACAAGCGCAAGUCCUUCAUCGGGACCCCCUACUGGAUGGCCCCCGAGGUAGCGGCGGUGGAGCGGAAAGGUGGUUACAAUCAACUCUGUGAUAUAUGGGCGUGCGGGAUCACUGCCAUAGAAUUAGCGGAACUCCAACCGCCAAUGUUCGAGCUGCACCCGAUGCGUGUGCUGUUCCUCAUGUCCAAGUCGGGCUUCAAGCCGCCGCAGCUCAAGGAGCGCGAGCGCUGGUCUGCGCUUUUCCACGCUUUCCUCAAACUGGCGCUCACCAAGAACCCCAAGAAACGACCCACCGCUGACAAACUGCUGCAGCACGGGUUCUUCCAGCAAGACAUGAGCAAGCGGCUGGCGAUAGAGUUGCUGCAGAAGUACUCCAACCCGCCGAGCCACUGCAACAAUCAGGAACCCGACGAGGAUGGGGCGGUUUCCAACGUACCCCAGCGCAUAGCGUCCAAGCACACAGGCCGCGGCGGGCGACGGGUUCUGGCCGACCAAUCACAGCCCUCCGCUGUCACGCGUAGCGGCCAACCAGCCAAUCACGUGCGGCCGCGGAGUCUGCUGACGGACCACGUGGUGCCGACAGCCAAUAGCGGGCGGCCGAGCUCGUUAUUGGACGACGAUCACGGCAGAAUGAAGGAUGACGUGCUGUAUUCGGGCAGAGAAGCGUCGAACCGCCGGUCGGGCGCGUACGACGACUCGCCCAUCAUUGACUUGGAUGCUGAUGAUGAGCUGAACGCGCACUCCAUGCCCAAGAUCAUCAACUUCUGCGCAGACGUCGCGCACAGCUGCGAGGGGGAUACUGUCAAACGGAAUGUGUACCAUAGACAAUCAAGCGAAGAUUGGAGUGUAGCGUCCCUCAUGACCUGCCCCAAACACAACCCCCUCACCGACCUAACAACGGACACCAUGCCCUCUAGCGAAAACAAGUGGUGUCGGGUGAUCACUGGUGAUGAUAUAAUGAGAAUGAGUCUGAGGAGUCUGUUGCAAUACAUAGACGAAGAGCUGAUGCUCAGGGCAACACUUCCGCUCACAGCCGACACAGCAGCGAUGUCGCAGGCUGGCAACCCAGCGCUAUCGUUGCACGACCAACACUUAUCCCAAUGCAUUCAACUUAAACAAAAUUUCCUUAACAAUUCAACGACUAAUAUCUACCAAAACUUAGCUACGAAUUUCCAAAGUCCCGUAGGAACUUCGAGAGUUUCGAUAGACGAUCCGUUAUGUAGAAAAAUGGAGGAUAUAAUGUACGUUGACCAUCAGGAGAGCGACGCGUUAGUACAGACACCUCAAAUAAGGAACGCGAAUUGCGAAUGUGGGUUAUGUCCAAAGCCAGAGAGAAAGGACGACAACACAUUGAGCGAUUUGCAAAAAUCAGUAGCGAAAUGCUCGUGUGACGCCUGCAACUCCAACGGGGACAUACUUAGUUACUACAGGAACUGUUCAAAUCAAAACCAGGACUCUGGUAUCGUGUUCUGUGAUAUAUGUAAGAAGCAAAAGAUAUCAGUGUCCAACUUCAGAGCGUUGCAGAUUGCUAACAAGUUGAGGAUCUCCGAAGACAAGCUGGAGAACGGCCAAUCAGACGAAGAUCUUUGCAAGAAGAUCGACAUGACGCUCAGCAUGGAUGAGAAGUCAUACGAACACAGGAAGAGGCAUAACAGACAUAACUCCGACUCGGUUACUGCGGGUAUAGACCUAAGUCAGUUCUGCCAGUGCGAGCUGGAAGGUAACAAACGUAAGACGUCUUCAGUGGACGAGAUAUUCAAAAUGGUGGACGAACAGGACAACAAGAGGGUGGAAGAUGAAGAGAGAGUGAGUCAGAGGCAGAGGAGUCUGUCGGACAGCCAGCGGGACAAGGCUAAGGUCGAGAAAGCGCGCACCCCCCCGGGGCCCCCCCGCCGCUCCCGCGGCCGCCGCGCCCACACGCCCCCGCGGCCCGCGCCCAACGGCCUGCCGCCCACGCCCAAGGUGCACAUGGGCGCCUGCUUCUCGAAGGUGUUCAACGGCUGUCCGCUCCGGAUAAACUGCACGGCGUCGUGGAUACACCCUGACACCCGGGACCAACACAUACUCAUUGGUGCUGAAGAAGGAAUCUACACGCUAAACCUGAACGAGCUUCACGAGACGGCCAUGGACCAGCUGUGCCCGCGGCGGACCAUCUGGAUGCACGUCAUCAAAGAUGUGCUCAUGUCACUUUCUGGCAAGACCCCGUCGCUGUACCGGCACGAGCUGCUGGCGCUGCUGGGCAGCGCCCGCGGGGGCAGGUCGCUGCGCGUGCUGCCGCCCCGGCUGCUGCCCAGGAGGUUCGCGCUCACCACCCGGGUGCCCGACACCAGAGGUUGCACGCGAUGCGCGGUGGCCCGCAACCCGUACAACGGGUACAAGUACCUGUGUGGCGCCACGCCGGCGGGGCUAUUCCUCAUGCAGUGGUACGACCCGCUGCACAAGUUCAUGUUGCUCAAGAACAUAGAGUGCACGCUGCCAUCACCUCUCCUCUGCUUCGAGCUGAUCAUCACGCCAGAGCUGGAGUACCCUCUACUAUGCGUCGGCGCAACUAGGAAGCCACUCCGACUCAACCUUAUUAAUAUUAAUUCUGGCGCGACGUGGUUCCACUCGGACGAGCUGGAGGCCCGCGUUGGCAGCUCCAACACCGUCAUCCCGCAGCGGGAGCGGAUGCACACGCUGCGGCACGUGCACCAGCUCAACAAGGACUCGGUGCUAGUAUGCCACGAGAACGUGGUGGACAUAAUCCCGGUACUCCCGCCUGCGCUGGAGCCUGCGCGGUGGCGCGGCGACAACGACAAGCGGCGCGGCAAGCUGCUCAGCAGGAUCGAGUUCGACUUCAACAUCGACUCCAUACUGUGCCUGCAGGACUCUGUGCUGGCGUUCCACCGGCACGGCGUGCAGGGCCGCUCGCUGCGCUCCGCUGACGUCACGCAGGAGAUCACAGACAACUCGCGCGUCUACCGCCUGCUGCCGCACGACAAAGUGGUGGUGCUGGAAUCACAUAGUCUACAAAGUAACACACUGUCGGGCGAAGAUGGCAACGACUUAUACAUCCUAGCGGGCCACGAAGCUUCCUACUAAACCACGGUUAUGGUACGAUCGUGGUAGUAUUUGGUAGGAAUUCCACAAGAAACAUGGCAACACAGCGCCGCAGUAGAUUCUACUCGUAGAAAAUGGUAGCAAUUUCACAGGUGAUUAUGGUAACACUACGCAGAUCGCGUGUGGUAAUAAUUCUACAGGAGAUUAUGGCAACACAUUUUGGUAGGAUUUAUUGACCGAAAUGUGUUAUUUUUGGCAUUUCGUAGUUACGCCUACGCGGAUUAUUGCUAACGAUUAUUCAAACAAGUAAUAAAUGAUGCAUAUAAUUUGACAUCGGGUUUAUGGUUUUAAUAAGUGAAAUUCAAAGGGACUUACAUAAACUCAUGGUUAUGAACAUGUCUCUUGAAUAUAUUCAUAUUUAAACUAAUAUGAUUGUGGACACAUACAAGGGUUCUACGUUAUACCCCGUAGGUCUGGGUCCAUAUUCGAACUCAGCCACAAGCCGCCACGGCAAGGACGCCUAACCUAAACAGCCUAUAUACAUCCCACUGCUGGGUACAGGCCUCCCCUCAAUCAACCGGAGGGGGUAUGGAGCAUACUCCACCACGCUGCUCCACUGCGGGUUGGUGGAGGUGUUUUUUACGGCUAAUAGCCGGGACCAACGGCUUAAAGUGCCCUCCGAAGCACGGAAUCAUCUUAUGAUUGUGGAAAAGAGACUUAUUUUAGAAGAUACCAGCGCUAAAAAUCUUUUAGCUGGGAGUAAAGUGAACACAAUAGGGUAGUUUCCAACUAGUCAAAUCAGUUGCUUUUUACUAAACGUCAAAACAUGGAAUUUGUAUGAGGAAAAGCAACCUGUGACGUCAUAAAAAAAUGUGUCAAAUGUCGCACUUAUUAUUACAUUUUUCUUUAUUAAAAUUCGUAAAUAAGUUAAAUAGAAAAAAAAAUAAAACGUUUUUCUACCUCUAGAUCUGUCUUUAUUUAGUAAUCAGAAUUUCAUAAUUUAUCUUUGACCUAGAAAACUACCCAAUUGUUAAAAGUUCAAAAAAUUUAAUUAUCACGUAGUAAUAAACCAGGGCCAUCUAUAUUGUUUUUGGGGAACGUGGCAUGGAAAGCCCCUCAUUCAUCAUCCCGUUUUUCACAGGGUCCGCUUACCUGACCUGAAGAUUUGACAGGUCCGGUUUUAUACAAAAGCGACUGCCUGUCUGACCUAACCCGCGAAGGGAAAACCAGCCCAAUACAGGUUAGGUCACAUACCCCCG